RNAcentral lists this ribosomal RNA (465 nucleotides) under uncultured bacterium. RNAcentral's name for it is "partial 16S ribosomal RNA". It matches the Rfam family "Bacterial small subunit ribosomal RNA", at positions 28 to 507 of the family's 1533-position model. The record is from RNAcentral.
GACGAACGCUGGCGGCACGCUUAACACAUGCAAGUCGAACGAAAGAAGCGAAGCUUGCUUUUCUGCUCUAGUGGCGGACGGGUGAGUAACACGUGAGCAAUCUGCCUUUCAGAGGGGGAUACCGACUGGAAACGAUCGUUAAUACCGCAUAACAUAAUUGAACCGCAUGAUUUGAUUAUCAAAGAUCUAUCGCUGAAAGAUGAGCUCGCGUCUGUUUAGCUAGUUGGUAAGGUAACGGCUUACCAAGGCGACGCUCAGUAGCCGGAGUGAGAGGUUGGUCGGCCACGGUGGGACUGAGACCCGGCCCAGACUCCUACGGGAGGCAGCAGUGGGGAAUAUUGCAGAAUGGCGGCAACGCGGAUGCAGCCAGGCCGCGUGAGGGAAGAAGGUUUUCGGAAUGUAACCCUCUGUCUUCAGGGACGAAAAAAGACGGUACCUGGGGAAGAAGCACCGGCUAACUACGUG